AGCUCAUAAAGGACUGUUAUAGAAUGUAAUAUUUUUAGAUGCAGUUUAAUAUCUGAUAUGUCCCCCAUCGGGGGACCACAUAUUAAAUGGAUUUUUGGAACAGGGAGCUGGAUCAGGAGCUUGCUCCGUCCUCUCCAUGCAUGACGUGCUGAAGAAUCUAUAAAAAAUAUGCAUAUUUC
Molecule: small nuclear RNA, 179 nt
Filed under: Lepisosteus oculatus (spotted gar)
Lineage: Eukaryota; Metazoa; Chordata; Actinopteri; Semionotiformes; Lepisosteidae
Description: U2 spliceosomal RNA
Rfam family: U2 spliceosomal RNA
About the family: U2 is a small nuclear RNA (snRNA) component of the spliceosome (involved in pre-mRNA splicing).
Source: Rfam by way of RNAcentral